RNAcentral lists this ribosomal RNA (405 nucleotides) under Lepidophthalmus madagassus. Its description in RNAcentral is "partial small subunit ribosomal RNA". Lineage: Eukaryota; Metazoa; Arthropoda; Malacostraca; Decapoda; Callianassidae. The record is from RNAcentral.
AUUUUCAGUCAAUUUUAACAGACCAAGACACUAAAAGCUAUGUCCUUCAAACCUAAAGGAUUUGGCGGUAAUUUAGUCCAGUUAGAGGAACCUGUUAGAUAAACGAUAAACCACGAAAAAUCUUACCCAUUUUCAUAGUUUGUAUACCGUCAUUAUUAGAUAACUUUUAAUGAAAAAGUUAUUUCAAUAAAUUCAAUUUAGUAUAUUAGAUCAAGGUGCAGCCAAUAAGUGGGUCUCAAUGGGUUACAAUAAAACUUAUUUAUUUACGAAAAUAAAAUAUAAUUACUUUAUUGAAGGAGGAUUUAAUAGUAAAAUUAGUUUAAUAAGCUUUUUUGAUAGUGGAUCUAAAUUGAGUACAUAUCGCCCGUCGCUUCCAUCCUACAAAUGGAAUAAGUCGUAACAUAG